Amblyraja radiata (thorny skate) is the source of this 1319-nucleotide long non-coding RNA. RefSeq lists it as uncharacterized. NCBI's taxonomy places the organism in Eukaryota, Metazoa, Chordata, Chondrichthyes, Rajiformes, Rajidae. The transcript has 4 exons. The record is from RefSeq and is a predicted model, not a curated record.
UCUUACUCCCUGUGCCCCAGAACCAUCAUUUGCAAUGCUGAUCUUAAUUUCGGGUGCUAUUCUGUGCCACUUUUUGAUGAUCCAGCAAAAAUACUUAACGGAAACAUUCCCCUGUAGUCUGGCUACAUCCCUAAUAUAAUUUUUUUCUUAUGACCAUCUCCCAUGUAACUACAGGAGAUGCAACAUCCAGCUUUUCACCCUUCCCAAUUUCAACAGCCCAUUUUACACAGGUAGAUGGGCCAAUUGUAUUAAUUUAGAACAUUGUAUUUGCUGCUCAUAAUGUAACUCCUGUAAAUUGGGAGCAGUAGAUGCAAGUUUGCAGACUGUCUGUGACUCCACAACUUAUUACUUUAAUUCCCCUUUCCACUUGGUCCCUGACUUUUCGAACCUUGAUAAUCUCUACUGCUCUCAGGAAACUCAAGGAAAGGUAUGCCUGAGAAAUAGAUGCAAGGAACUGCAGAUAAUGGUUUAUAUUAAAAAACACACACAAAGUGCUGGCGUCAUUGCAACUAGCAAAAUUAUAGCCUUUUGGAUUCUAUUUUGUGUUUAAUAAUUUUGCAUUUAUCUGUAUUUUCUGCAUUUCAAAUUUUACAUUUCCAGCAUGUACAUUGCAAUAUUUCAUUAAUUUAUUAAUGAUUCAACCUCUAUUUACAUCUUCAACCUGAUUUUUUUUUUUUUGCUUGUCAUAGUACCAACUUCACCUGACUUCUAACCUCUGAGACCCUUUUUCUUUUUCCUUCCUUAUUUCUUUGUUCUGCACCAUAAAAGCUAUUAAUCUUUGAUUUCUUUCCCCCCUACUAGACUUCAUGAAAGGUUUAAGUCUUGCACCUGUACUAGCUGUUUGAGAUGAUCACUCAUGAAAAUCAAGCUUGGACAUUUACCUGGAAGGAUGGCUUGCAGAAAUCCAAGAAGUAAACACUUAAAAAGAAAAAUAGGAUCUUUUUGAAGUGUAAAUCCUCAAUCUGGGAUUGUAUUUGGAUCAGUGUGUUUUGUAAAAGAAUAAUGUGAGGACGAAUGACCAGCACUGGGGGCUUCAGUUCAAGUCGUUUCUUUUUAUCGUGAGGGGCUGUCACAUGAGAAUGGACUUUAUCGAUGGAUGCUCAGAGCUUUCCAGGCCACUUGAAUCCACAAAUUACAACAAUUGCAGUUGCCUAUUAGAAGAGCUGACAAACUUCAAAGAAUGAUAGGAUCUUGUUGGAGAGAAUCCUCUGGAGGAUGGGGAUCCCUUCCAGCAGGAAUCUUUGGAGUGUUCACCAGGAUCUGAUCGUGUGUUUAAUUGUGUCAAUUUGCUGGUCAAUUAAAAUUAAUAGCUGAUUUAA